This is a non-coding RNA of Pelodiscus sinensis (Chinese soft-shelled turtle), 1267 nucleotides long. The record is from RefSeq and is a predicted model, not a curated record. Lineage: Eukaryota; Metazoa; Chordata; Testudines; Trionychidae.
AAGAAAUGCCUUUGAAGCUUUUUGGCACUAACAGCCGUCCGCCAUCUUGUCUUCCUGCUCCAGGCCAGACAGCUCCCCUGCGGAACCAGGUAAGCACCUGGGAUUUUUACCUCCUGGCUGGGGGGGAAAUCAGAAAAUACUGGGCAUUUUAGGUAGCCAGUAUUUUCUGACCUUUUUUUAACUGGACAGGAGGCGAAAAUAUUGGACUGUCCGUGUCAAUACCAGACACCUGGCAACCCUAGUGACUCAGCUGACCCCACAGCGAUGCAGUAAGAAGCCUCCCUCCCAGGCAGGGGGAUAGGGAACAAAUAAAAAAAAUAUUCUCUUGCUUCUGACCUAGACAAGUAACUUUAGCAGGAUUGGUAACCAGGAAGUCUACAAAUGAGAGCCUUAUCCAGGGGAAAGUAGGAGAGGAAGAAUAGCCCAGGAGAAAAAUUCUACUAAUUUUGCCAUCUUUAAGCACCAAACAUGAUGUUGGAUAUCUUUUCUAAAGAUAAAGUAAAACACAAUGUCAGAGUGUCUAUGCAUACUAGUUGUGAUAUUGGACCAUACAACUAACGGUAAUGUACCUUAUUAUUAAAAAAUGGCUCAGAUUAAAAGGUAUGUGAAGUAAAUACAUAAAGAUUCUAUUGGUCUCUGUUUUGAGAAGCAGGAUACCACUUGCCUUGGAAAGCUCAGGAAUCAGAUUAAUAUGUUAAUGAAUACCCCAUUUUACUGCAUGUUGUUAUAUUCUACUGGAAGAUUUACCUAGUGUUGCUCGGGUCCUUAACUCAAUUAUUUUUUCUUAUUUAAAUCAUUCUUAAUGAACUGGAGUGGAGCUGGGAAUGAGGGGCUCAGUAUGCAGGCUGCCCGAGGGAGAGGGGACUACCCCAGAGCUCUCAUCACAGCAACUUGAAGACAGAAAAUAAGCUUGGAUCCCAAAGAUCGCGCCAAGGCAAUACCACCCCCACAGGAGACACAUUAUAUUUCCGGCCGACAAAAUGACCAUCAAUGCCUUUGUUUAUGUAGGCUUAUUUAGCUUGUGAGGAAUAACUAUCUGUAUUAGUGAUAAUAUGUUUAAUUGGUAAUGGGCGGAGAUGCUGUGUAACUGUUGUAGACCAUUGGCUUAUGUGCAUAUCUCACUUCCGCUGCUAGACCUAUCAAAUCACUUCUCCAUCCAUCUGCUACCUAUAUAAUCUAAUGUAUGUUUUGGUUAAAUUAGUGCUCACCUGGUUAACCCCUGAUGAGUACUCCACCAGCUGUGUGAACCAAUAAAUCCUCUCCUUGU